Molecule: ribosomal RNA, 305 nt
Filed under: uncultured bacterium
Lineage: Bacteria
Description: bacterial SSU rRNA
Rfam family: Bacterial small subunit ribosomal RNA
Source: RNAcentral
UUCCCUACGGGGGGCAGCAGUGAGGAAUAUUGGUCAAUGGCCGAGAGGCUGAACCAGCCAAGUCGCGUGAGGGAAGACGGCCCUACGGGUUGUAAACCUCUUUUGUCGGGGAGCAAAGAGAGUCACGUGUGACUCAUUGAGAGUACCCGAAGAAAAAGCAUCGGCUAACUCCGUGCCAGCAGCCGCGGUAAUACGGAGGAUGCGAGCGUUAUCCGGAUUUAUUGGGUUUAAAGGGUGCGUAGGCGGUCCGUUAAGUCAGCGGUAAAAUUGCGGGGCUCAACCCUGUCGAGCCGUUGAAACUGGCA